AGUGAACGCUGGCGGCAGGCCUAACACAUGCAAGUCGAGCGGCAGUGCGGGGGCAACCCUGGCGGCGAGCGGCGGACGGGUGAGGAAUUCGUCGGAAUCUGCCUUUUUGUGGGGGAUAACGUAGGGAAACUUACGCUAAUACCGCAUACGUCCUACGGGAGAAAGUGGGGGACCGCAAGGCCUCACGCAGAAAGAUGAGCCGACGACCGAUUAGCUAGUUGGUGGGGUAAAGGCCCACCAAGGCGACGAUCGGUAGCUGGUCUGAGAGGAUGAUCAGCCACACUGGGACUGAGACACGGCCCAGACUCCUACGGGAGGCAGCAGUGGGGAAUAUUGGACAAUGGGCGCAAGCCUGAUACAGCCAUGCCGCGUGUGUGAAGAAGGCCUUCGGGUUGUAAAGCACUUUUGUCCGGAAAGAAAUCCCUGGAGCUAAUACCUUCGGGGGAUGACGGUACCGGAAGAAUAAGCACCGGCUAACUUCGUG
Molecule: ribosomal RNA, 484 nt
Filed under: uncultured bacterium
Lineage: Bacteria
Description: partial 16S ribosomal RNA
Rfam family: Bacterial small subunit ribosomal RNA
Source: RNAcentral